Molecule: non-coding RNA, 397 nt
Organism: Nylanderia fulva
Lineage: Eukaryota; Metazoa; Arthropoda; Insecta; Hymenoptera; Formicidae
Source: RefSeq, a predicted model, not a curated record
CCGCGCAAAAGUAUCAAGUAAAAUGUCUGCAGGUUUGUCCGCGAGAAGUUUGAAGAAGAAAUCCAACGAAAUUAAUCCUUUAGAGCUGCCAUCGCAUCUUCGCAAGUUGCAAGAUAUCAAUUUAAGAAUGUAUUGAGAUAAGCGGCUUGAAAAAGUACUAAUAGUUUCUUCAAUAGGCAUACAGUAAAGCAGUUAAAUAUCGGUCUCGUACAACAAUAAGUACAGUAAAAGUGUAAUUAGUGCACGAUCAUCGUCGUAAACACGCGACACCUACACUUGAUCGAUGCCCGCAGACGCGUUUUUAGCUGACGAACUGUCAGAAUUUUCUUGCGUCAUUCGCGGCUAACAUCGCUAAAGUGCGCAGAGCAGCAAAGUGCGGUGAAUUGAGAUUUUUCUC